CUUUUUUUCGAUGCUGUGUGUUUGCUUUGCGCCCGUCGCCUCGGGCCAAAACACCUCAGCGGCAGCGCGCAGCAGUGACUGUUGUUGUUUCGGGUCUAUUUUAUAUUUAUUUCGUGCUUUGCUCACAAGUUGUGUGUGUGUGUGUCGGUUGGCUGGGCGGCUGCUUGCCCGGGUGGUGAGGAGCAAGGGCUGGGGCAAGGGCAUGUGCAAAAAUAUGAACUCACACAGACACAGGCAAUACAAUUUAAGUUGACGUUGAGCAGGCACCAGGACGACAGUAUAUAUGUAUGUAUAUGCGUGUGUGUGUGUUUGUGUGUUUGUGUGUUUGCUAAAGUGCGUGUGUAUAUUUUAAGUAUCCUGUUUGCGCUGCUUUGCUGCUGAUGCUGUGGCUUCUGUUGCCUACUUUCUGGCGCUCGAAGCCUCGUAUUCCUUUUAUUUGGCUUGGCUCUUCUUGUCGCUGUUGUUGCUUUGUUUAGUAUUAUUUUGCGUAAAUAGAAUUUACGUGUUCUCGACACGUUGUGCCCGCUGAUACUUGUAUAUGUGAGUAGCUCCGACGUGUACAUACAUCCAUGGCAUGCAGCAUUCGAUGCUCUUGUAUUGGUAAAUUAACUUUGAUUACUCGCUGUGCUGUUUGGCUGUCAAUGGCUUUUGUGGCUGGCUUCUCUUUCUCUGCAAUCCAAAAAUAACGGUUUCCAGCAGCUAACACAAACGAGUAUGUGUGUGUAUGUAUAAUCCAGGUGCGAAUAACAAGGUGCAGGUUAAGGCAAAUUUAUAUUUAUUGUCACAUUCUCAGUGAAAAACACUCCUCAAUUCAAAUUAAUCGUUCGUUCCUUUGCUUCUCUUUAAUCUGUUGUAUUUUUUGACGAACCUCUGCCUCCUCUUCUAGUUAUGUGUCUCAAAUUUCACCUUGUUCUUCUCCUUCCUUUACAUAAACGCUCCGAUUCAGCACUUCCUCUUAGUCCAGCCUCCUCCUACUUUGCUUUGCUUUCCUUUCACUGCCGCUGCUGCUGCUGCUGCUGCUGCUGGUGCUCCUACUUCGAGGAUGGUGAUGCCGCUGCGCUCCUUGUUUUUGCUGCUGGCCACAACAGCUGCUGCUGCACGCGCCGCACUCGGAUAGCACGUGCUGUUUCCCACGACAUAGAGAAAUCAAAAGAGGAGCCCACGACAGGGAGCCCACGACAUAUACCCCAAGGAUAUUUCAAAUGUUGCACUGUGCACAAAGUUGCCCGAGAAUGUUGCCCACGAUACACACUGGGCAUAAC
RNAcentral lists this long non-coding RNA (1262 nucleotides) under Drosophila guanche. Lineage: Eukaryota; Metazoa; Arthropoda; Insecta; Diptera; Drosophilidae. The record is from RNAcentral.